Long non-coding RNA from Pseudophryne corroboree (corroboree frog), 566 nucleotides. RefSeq lists it as uncharacterized. The transcript has 3 exons. The record is from RefSeq and is a predicted model, not a curated record. Lineage: Eukaryota; Metazoa; Chordata; Amphibia; Anura; Myobatrachidae.
CACAGUGGCUGUUCAUGGUGCUGUCACACCAUAACCCACUGCGCAGCCAGGGGGCUCCAGGAUAACCUUGUCACAUAGGUGACCACCUGGUUCAGGCUGUAUGAUGUCUACCAGGCUUUCUAAUCAUGCGUCAUUCACCCUCUUUAAUACCGCCACGUCACUGAGGGGUCGGUGCAGCGGGAUGACGCAACUUCCGGAUUUCGCAUGCCACACGCUGCCGGAAGUGCGGGUUCCGUGCACAGGACGGCGGGGACGUGGAGGCAGACACAGAUACACGGUACAGUGAAGGUGGGGCUACAAGAGGUACACAUCUAGCGUUCUCUCGACAGACCGAGAGCUCUUUACCAGUCAAUAACGUUGUGAUGACAUUUCCAUUGGUGUGACACGGUGCAAUGCAGCAAUUACUUACUUCGAAUGAGACCUUAGGUGCCCAGCCCAGCUUCUGUUUUGCUUUGCUGCAGUCUCCUUGGAGGAAUUCCUGGAAGAGGGAAAAGUUAAGGACAGCAAUAAGUUUAUGUAUCAGAAUACAGGACACAAUGCACAGUUUCAUAGUUUUUUCAAUAAAU